Long non-coding RNA from Etheostoma spectabile (orangethroat darter), 75 nucleotides. RefSeq lists it as uncharacterized. The transcript has 3 exons. The record is from RefSeq and is a predicted model, not a curated record. Lineage: Eukaryota; Metazoa; Chordata; Actinopteri; Perciformes; Percidae.
AUUCUAGGAUCAGACCUUUAGGGGGGCUCAGGCCCUACUGAGAAUGUGACACAGAUGCAUUGCAAAAGUGUUGAC